Long non-coding RNA from Pseudomyrmex gracilis, 3936 nucleotides. RefSeq lists it as uncharacterized. The record is from RefSeq and is a predicted model, not a curated record. NCBI's taxonomy places the organism in Eukaryota, Metazoa, Arthropoda, Insecta, Hymenoptera, Formicidae. The transcript has 2 exons.
UCGAUCUCUUGACGCAAUGUUUAAAGAAAAAUCAAAGGAGAGAGAUUGCUUACAAGUAUAUCGCACCGCAUAUUGUCUGCCUUUCUCCGUAUACUGUUUCAUAAUCUCGUAUUCUUCUUGAGACCCGAGCUUGUCCCAGUCUAAGAACAAACGAUCUACGAGAUCUCUCAUCUAGAAACGUCAUUGAUAUAUUUGUCGAUAUGGACAACGAGUUCGCUAAUUUAUCACCGCCACCAUGUGAGGAGGAAACGCUUCGAAUAUACACUGCAUGUUCUCGCACACGAAAAAUUUGGCUACCUGAAAAUUACGAACUACUUGGAGCAGAUUAACAAAUUUUCUUCUGUUACAAAGAACAAAGGCUAUAGAAAAUUCCUAAAAAAAAAAAAAAAAAACAAAAAACAAACUUUUUUCACUUAUAUAACCUGCGGAACGAUGAGAGUAGACUCCAGUAGGACACAAAAAAGAAAGAAGAAUAACUUUUCCUUCGGCUUCUGAUAGGGCCACUGACCAAUCAGAGACAAAUAUCUUCUAUUGAUGUCGUAAUCGUAAUCUCUGUUAGAGACUACGGUUUUGUAGACGGUUUCUCUUAGCCGCGACAUUUUUCCGUGUCUACACCUUUUUUUUUUUUUCGGACCCUACAACGUCUACAACGUCAGAGGAAGUCUAAAUCAAUACGUCAAAUGAAAGCUCUCUCUCUCUUAUCUUUUUCUUCCGAACGUAUAUACAGCGCGUACGUAAUCGUACGGGGCUAUAGGCUGCAAUAUCACUCAUUGUAACCCGUACUUAUCGUAGCGGAUAACAAGUAUAGGUUUUUUCCAUAAAUAUAUAUCUCGCGUAGAUACUAUGCAACAAAGUGCACGCAAUGUUUGACAAGCCAAUUAAAUGAUACUUAGUUGAGCAGUCAGACACGACGAUAAUAUCGAUCCUUAGAUAUACUUCCUUUUGUAUAAUAGCAACCUAUAAUGUUCGUUGGAAGAAGACUUGGAACAUCUUCUCGUUUGUUCCAAGAAACUUCCAUCGUAACGACGCGCGCAAUUCGGAAAAAGAUUGCCGGCGACUUUCCCAAGACUCUUGUUCCAAAAAGUAAACCAAAAAGUCUGCCGACAACAUACACCGAGGUAACAAAGUGAAAUAAAUUUUAUUAGAUACAGAUACUCACCGUGCGAAGAUCGUGAUCCAAUAAAAAGGAUGUUUCUUCUUCUCUUUGUGAUACCGUUUAACGAGCAAGAGCAUCACUUCACAUUGUUUUCUCUUGGAAUAUUUGUUUCUCCGCCGGUGUGACACCCAAAGAAUUAGAGCGAGGAAAUAAAUUUGUGCAAAACUUGUGAUAGGAUAUAUAGAUGACAUUUAUUUAAUUAUUUACGCUACUGGAUGUUGUUAUAUUCGUAAUAGGUAUCUAUAAUUAUGUAUCGAUAAUUAUGCGUGAGGUCAGUCGCGCGAGUUUUACAAGUUGUUCGUGUGUAUGUGUGUGUGUGUGUAUAUAUAUAUGUGAAACAGUGUAUUACAAUGAGUAUGCGUAAUGUAAAUUAAUUACACGGGAGGGAGAGGAAGGGGGCGAGAGAAUGUGUGACGAGAAACAGGAGAUGCUGCUUUCGAAAAAAUGCAAGAUGGGCUCGGCGAAUCAUCGACCACGCAUCAAUCAGCUAUCUCGCCGGCGUUCCGUAAUUGUUUUUUUUUUGUUUUUUUCUUCCGGCGAUACAAAACACCACCGGAUAAAAACUUAUGCGCGACUCGAUUUACAAAUAGAGCUACGUUUGUCUCUUCUUUACAUGCCCUUCGAUAUCGAUCACUCUCGAUCGCGAUUACGUAAAAACUAAAUAAAUGAGACUCGAUCGCUAUCUCGCAUUUCACUCGCAAUCCUUUCACCUCAAAAAAUUUUCCGACAUCCAAAGGCAUUCGAGAACUACGCUCGUUUCUCAGUAUCAAAUUUUUUUGUUUAAUCGACAUAACUCGUCGUCACGUACUACUUCCGCUUAAAUUAGUGAAAGGGUUGAACACGUAUUAUCUCUACGAAGACANUUUUUUUUUUUUUUUUUUUUUUUUUUNNNNUCGCGUGUUCACUCCUCCAGCCGAAAUAUAUAAAAUUUUUUUAAAUCAAACGGACACAGGAGCGCGCGGAGAUAAUGAUCAAGUCCGGAAAAAUACAUACACUUAAGAGCUUAGCAAUAUACAAGGACGUAUGUAACAUAAGGCGCAAUCCCGCGUCGAGGGAUUGCGAUAAUUAAUUCGUUCUGCUCGACGAAUCAAAAGUACAGUUUGAACUCCCUUAAAUAUCGACUUGUUUUUUUUCCGAGAUCGAACAAACCCUCUAUUCGUAACUUUCCCUCGAUUUCCGAUCAAUACGCAGAAUGAAAGUGCAUGUUCAUUGUGUAUUGGUCGUUUUCGUUUUACACAUUAACAAAUUACACGUAGUUUCACGUUUAAGAAAGUGAUUCAGAAACAAAGAAUGCAAGAAUUUAGAAGACUUUUAUAGUGAAAUUAUUUGUAUCGUUGUCCUUGUGUGUAAUACACCGCGAUUGAUCAUUUUAAAUUUUUUAUUCGAACAACCAACAUAAACACAAUUGUAUCAAAACAGAAGGACAUACGAUUGGAUUUAAAAAGAAAAACGUGUAUAAAAAAUCUGAUGCUGAUUUUUCAUGUAACGACAUACGUGUUAGAAUCAUCUACAAGUGUUUGUGCUCGAUUCGUUUCUAUGUCUAUCAAAAGUUUUGUUUACAACGGCGAUCCCAGAAAUUAUUUACGACCGGUUACAAAGCUACAUCAGGACUGAGACGCGUCAAAAAAUCAUCUUAUUAUUAUAAUAAUAAUAAUCUAUGUACGCACCAGCAUACAUAAAUUUUACAAGUGCACGAGACGCUGAAUUAUACAGUCGAUAACUUACCGACUAAUAAGAUAUAAAAUAAUUAUUAUACGCACUUAGAAAGUACGUCGCAUGUAAUAAAAACAUGUUUUACGGGGUAACGACAAUUGUUACACAAGAAUUUUACAUAUUUGCAUACUAAUAUUACAUACAAAAAAAGAAAAAACAAAGUCAUAAAUACAAGUAGAUACGUAUAGGCCGUUAUUCAUAUAGUCGGAUCUUGUGUAAAUAAAAUCAAUCUGUGAACGUUUGAUGAAAAAAUUUGGUGCGGGCAUUAUUUGACAAAAUCUAUUCUCGACAGGUUUGACCAUCAGAAUUAUUUAUAAAUCGUCGCUAAGUUCAUCUUAGAGAUAAACCAUCUCAUCUCAUUGUGGCUACACAUUCAUCUGACAAUCAACUUAAAUAUAAAGAACUAUGAGAAUACCGGCCAUAAAUCUUUUAUUAAAAAAAAAAAAAAAUUUACAAAAAACCCUUUCGAAAGAGAUACAUAACAACACAAUAAAAUACAAGAGAAAAGGAAAAUAUAUGUAUAAACAAAAGGAAUAUUUAUAUUACUUUAGCUCCAGGAGUGAAACUACUUUUAAUAUUGCAUUUUUAAGUCCAUAUGAUGAAGACCACUUCAAUCCUGUAUUGUCCAAGUCACACAUACUCGCUCGCUCGCUCGCUCGCUCACUCACUCACUUACACACACAUACAAUAUUGCAAUACGUUUGCACUUUGCUGACCAGUUUUGACGCAACUUUUUGUAUUUUAUUAUUUACUACAAGACUAAACAAAAAAUUUUAAAUUUUCAUCUAAUAAAAAUGUAAAACACAAAAUAAUUUAAAAGAAACUUAACAGAGAUAUCAAAAAAAAAUUUCAACAUAAAACAACUCAGAUUUCAUAUUUCAAAAAUCAAUUUGGACAAUAGAAGAUUAAGUUGUUUAAACUUGCGCGCUAGAGAGUGUAUACAAUAUAAAAAGAUAUAUCACAAUACGUUUCUUUUGUCGUUUUUCUCAAUUACAAAUUAGAAAAUAACUAUUCAACGUAAUAGCAGAUUUCUGUGACUCUUUUAUGCUUCAAAAAAAAAAAAAAAA